AUUAGACGAAUCAUCUGGAAAGAUGAAUCAAAGAAGGUAAUAAUCCUGUAGUCGAAAAUGUUGUCUCUCUUGAGUGGAUCCUGAGUACGACGGAGCACGUGAAAUUCCGUCGGAAUCUGGGAGGACCAUCUCCUAAGGCUAAAUACUCUCUAGUGACCGAUAGUGAACCAGUACCGUGAGGGAAAGGUGAAAAGCACCCCGGAAGGGGAGUGAAAUAGAACCUGAAACCGUGUGCUUACAAGUAGUCAGAGCCCGUUAAUGGGUGAUGGCGUGCCUUUUGUAGAAUGAACCGGCGAGUUACGAUUUGAUGCAAGGUUAAGCAGUAAAUGUGGAGCCGUAGCGAAAGCGAGUCUGAAUAGGGCGUUUAGUAUUUGGUCGUAGACCCGAAACCAGGUGAUCUACCCUUGGUCAGGUUGAAGUUCAGGUAACACUGAAUGGAGGACCGAACCGACUUACGUUGAAAAGUGAGCGGAUGAACUGAGGGUAGCGGAGAAA
RNAcentral lists this ribosomal RNA (495 nucleotides) under Staphylococcus aureus. RNAcentral's name for it is "partial 23S ribosomal RNA". It matches the Rfam family "Bacterial large subunit ribosomal RNA", at positions 328 to 826 of the family's 2925-position model. The record is from RNAcentral. Lineage: Bacteria; Bacillati; Bacillota; Bacilli; Caryophanales; Staphylococcaceae.